Molecule: ribosomal RNA, 253 nt
Filed under: uncultured bacterium
Lineage: Bacteria
Description: partial 16S ribosomal RNA
Rfam family: Bacterial small subunit ribosomal RNA
Source: RNAcentral
UACGAAGGGGGCGAGCGUUGUUCGGAAUUACUGGGCGUAAAGGGCGCGUAGGCGGCGACCCAAGUCAGAUGUGAAAGUCCUGGGCUUAACCUGGGGACUGCAUUCGAUACGGGCAGGCUAGAGUUCGGUAGGGGAGAUCGGAAUUCCUGGUGUAGCGGUGAAAUGCGCAGAUAUCAGGAGGAACACCGGUGGCGAAGGCGGAUCUCUGGGCCGAUACUGACGCUGAGGAGCGAAAGCGUGGGGAGCGAACAGG